AACGAACGCUGGCGGCAGGCCUAACACAUGCAAGUCGAACGCUCUAGCAAUAGAGAGUGGCGCACGGGUGCGUAACGCGUGGGAAUAUGCCCUUGACUACGGAACAACGUCGGGAAACUGACGCUAAUACCGUAUAAUGUCUUCGGACCAAAGAUUUAUCGGUCAAGGAUUAGCCCGCGUCUGAUUAGCUAGUUGGUGAGGUAACGGCUCACCAAGGCGACGAUCAGUAGCUGGUCUGAGAGGAUGAUCAGCCACACUGGGACUGAGACACGGCCCAGACUCCUACGGGAGGCAGCAGUGAGGAAUAUUGGACAAUGGAGGCAACUCUGAUCCAGCCAUGCCGCGUGAGUGACGAAGGCCUUCGGGUUGUAAAGCUCUUUCAGAUGCGAAGAUAAUGACGGUAACAUCAGAAAAAGCCCCGGCUAAAUUCGUGCCGGCAGCCGCCGUAA
This 449-nucleotide ribosomal RNA is filed under the name uncultured bacterium. RNAcentral's name for it is "partial 16S ribosomal RNA". It matches the Rfam family "Bacterial small subunit ribosomal RNA", at positions 29 to 523 of the family's 1533-position model. The record is from RNAcentral.